Molecule: long non-coding RNA, 1830 nt
Filed under: Daphnia pulicaria
Lineage: Eukaryota; Metazoa; Arthropoda; Branchiopoda; Diplostraca; Daphniidae
Description: uncharacterized LOC124311663
Source: RNAcentral
UGGUGUCUUAUCAAACAGAAAAAAACCAGCCUCGACCCUUUCUUUGUUUAAAUAAAUAUGACAUAUAUUUUAUAGAAGGGGGAAAAAAUAAAACUAACUUUUUCCUUCAAACAAUCCAAUCACCAAAUGGGGAAAGAUAAGAAAGGAGGCAUGCACACCUGCCGUGUUGUUGUAUACAUGUCCGCGGGAUAUGUGUGUAUGCUUCACAGCUGCCUCACUUCUAUUCUAGUACCACUGUGAAAAAUCCAAAACAAAAACAUGACGGUCCUCUCAAAUGAAAAAAUGAUAAUGUAAUUGAGGUAUUCCUCCUGCUGCCCCCCGAUCUCUUUAGCAUAUACAUCAAAUCGUCGCCGCCAACAAUAUGCGAAAGGUCAGCUUUUCCAAAUAUUUUUCCUAGGAAAAAUGGACCGCCCAUUUUUUAAAUGUUGGCUGAAUGAAAACAAAAUGACCUGAUUUGACCUCUUUUCAACCAGGUCAAACACAUUUUCAAAUUCAAUUCCUUGGAGAGAAUCUAAAAGAAAAAUCAUGUAACAGCACAGAAGCCCGUUUUGUCGUAUCUUAACAUUGGACGAGAAUGUUAAAUACCCUAGAAAACUCUAUAAAGAUGGCCUCGUUUAAAAUCUCGUUAAAUUUGUUGUUGAUUUCGGCCUUUUUUUUCGGUUGAGAGAGGGGCUCAGAAAAACAUCUUUCUUCUUCUUCUUCUUCUUGGAUUACCAAAAGAAGAGGGGAAAAAAUGAAGAAGAAAAAUCUUUUCUUUCUUCUUUGUGUGUACAUGUUGAAACUCUAGUGGAGUGUGUAUAGUGACCACCUGGCGCCCCCCUCCCCCCUAUGUCCUUCUCUGCCCUCUAUUCUUUUCGUGUGCACCAAGAACUCCCCCCCAAAGAAGAAGAAGGUUUUGUGGAGGAUUUCCUGCACGUUACAAAGUGGGGCCCCCAUGAUAACCGAAAAACAUUCCAAGUUUUUAUAAUAUUUAAGUUUUACUAGAGUCUGAAUUGUGUGUGAUGAAAUCGAGUCACGUUUUUGAAACAAUGCCAUCUAGGGGAUUGAAUUACAGACGAGCGUGUGAAUGUGUCACCACGUGACUGCUUUUCUCGGGAGUGAAACACAUUUUGACGUAAUUGGAUAAAUGAACGUUGUCUGGUUUCAGACAUGCGGACAAGGAUUUUGAUAAAUUUGUGUAUGUACCCUUUGUUAUUAAAAACAUUUUUUACUCUGGUUUCUUUUAUGACGGCUACUAACACAAAAAGAGUGUGACUGAUCGUCAUCCCAUCCGACGGGGGGUUUUCAUUUGCGUCCCAAAUGAGACCAGCAGGCCGAAUCGCCAUCUUUGAUACAUUAAAUCAAGGUUUUUCAAGCCCCAAUAUAGUCCAAGACCUUCUUCUUCGUCGUUCAAUUAGACACUCGACGACUAAUAAUCCACGAUGGCUUCGUUCCCAGAUAUACGAAAGUUUUAGGUUCAAUGUCAAACCGCGAAUUUUUUAUUUUACCACACGAACGCAGCGUUAAGUGAAGCUGACUGGCGAACCAGCUCCAUGUCCUUGAUUUUUGAAUCGUUUUUCUUAUGCUUCUUUUAAAAAAGCUUUUUUUGUGUCAUUGUUUAGCAGCUGCGCACUUCUUCUGCCAGUUUUUUUCCCCUUGAGCUGUUGUUACGUGUAUUAUACACCUUUCUUCCCGCAGGGUUUCAAGGCAGAAGGUGACGUCACGAAAAUUAUUCCUUGAGCUUUUAAAUUCUACCGCUAGGUGGAAGCAUAAUUUGACGAUUUAUUCCAACAGUCGCCAUUUUAGCAUUCGUUGAUUUUCUGGUACCGACUGUAACACACGUCCACCAAA